Molecule: ribosomal RNA, 1068 nt
Filed under: Labidura riparia
Lineage: Eukaryota; Metazoa; Arthropoda; Insecta; Dermaptera; Labiduridae
Description: SSU rRNA
Rfam family: Eukaryotic small subunit ribosomal RNA
Source: RNAcentral
CUUUACUGAGUGUCGUGGCGGGCCGGCACGUUUACUUUGAACAAAUUAGAGUGCUAAAAGCAGGCCUCAUGCCUGAAUAUUGUGUGCAUGGAAUAAUAGAAUAGGACCUCGGUUCUAUUUUGUUGGUUUUCUGGACCAGAGGUAAUGAUUAAGAGGAACGGACGGGGGCAUUCGUAUUGAGACGUUAGAGGUGAAAUUCUUGGAUCGUCUCAAGACGGACAGAAGCGAAAGCAUUUGCCAAGAACGUUUUCAUUAAUCAAGAACGAAAGUUAGAGGUUCGAAGGCGAUCAGAUACCGCCCUAGUUCUAACCAUAAACGAUGCCAGCCAGCGAUCCGCCAAAGUUCCUCCGAUGACUUGGCGGGCAGCUUCCGGGAAACCAAAGCUUUUGGGUUCCGGGGGAAGUAUGGUUGCAAAGCUGAAACUUAAAGGAAUUGACGGAAGGGCACCACCAGGAGUGGAGCCUGCGGCUUAAUUUGACUCAACACGGGAAACCUCACCAGGUCCGGACACCGGAAGGAUUGACAGAUUAAGAGCUCUUUCUUGAUUCGGUGGGUGGUGGUGCAUGGCCGUUCUUAGUUGGUGGAACGAUUUGUCUGGUUAAUUCCGAUAACGAACGAGACUCUAGCCUGCUAACUAGCCGUUUCCGGCAUCAUAUGCUGCCGGCGGCAUUAAAAUCUUCUUAGAGGGACAGGCGGCUUCUAGCCGCACGAGAUUGAGCAAUAACAGGUCUGUGAUGCCCUUAGAUGUCCUGGGCCGCACGCGCGCUACAAUGAAGGUAUCAACGUGUCUUCCCAGGCCGAACGGUCCGGGUAACCCGCUGAACCACCUUCGUGCUAGGGAUUGGGGCUUGCAAUUGCUCCCCAUGAACGAGGAAUUCCCAGUAAGCGCGAGUCAUAAGCUCGUGUUGAUUACGUCCCUGCCCUUUGUACACACCGCCCGUCGCUACUACCGAUUGAAUGAUUUAGUGAGGUCUUCAGACUGGUGCGCGAUAGCAUUAUUUAUGGUGCUGCCGAUGCUACUGGAAAGAUGACCAAACUUGAUCAUUUAGAGGAAGUAAAAGUCGUAAC